CCUUGCCUAUGUGUGACAGUAAAACACUGUCGCCUCUAAGAUCUGCCCCAGCAGCUGUUUGCUGAGGAGAAGGCAGCUCUGUGAGAUCCAUGUUCCUGUGGGCUGAGCUACACGGCACCUCCAGAGCUCCUACACCUCCUUCCUGGUCCUUCUGAGGCUCAUGCGAAGCCCAGGCAUGGUCAGCAUCUGUGGUCACGCUGGGGCCUCGGUCACGUUGUAGCUUCACAUGCCACAGAGCCUGCUACAGGGCUGGCUGCAUCCUGCAUCCCACCCUUCCCGUCACUCAGAGAGAGACCCACGCUUGUGUGAAGAUGAGGAAGGACUCUAAAGUGUUAUGAGAGACAAAUAGGAUCAGAAAGCCAGG
RNAcentral lists this long non-coding RNA (364 nucleotides) under Homo sapiens (human). Its description in RNAcentral is "HSALNT0197854". The record is from RNAcentral. Lineage: Eukaryota; Metazoa; Chordata; Mammalia; Primates; Hominidae.